GGGCGGUUAACUCAGCGGUAGAGUGCCUCCUUGACAGGGAGGAAGUCACAGAUUCGAAUUCUGUACCGCCCA
Molecule: transfer RNA, 72 nt
Filed under: Phormidesmis priestleyi
Lineage: Bacteria; Bacillati; Cyanobacteriota; Cyanophyceae; Leptolyngbyales; Leptolyngbyaceae
Also listed under: 1 other name
Description: tRNA-Val
Rfam family: tRNA
About the family: Transfer RNA (tRNA) molecules are approximately 80 nucleotides in length.
Source: RNAcentral